RNAcentral lists this ribosomal RNA (481 nucleotides) under uncultured Streptosporangiaceae bacterium. RNAcentral's name for it is "partial 16S ribosomal RNA". The record is from RNAcentral. Lineage: Bacteria; Bacillati; Actinomycetota; Actinomycetes; Streptosporangiales; Streptosporangiaceae.
CACGUAGUUAGCCGGCGCUUCUUCUGCAGGUACACGUCAACUUCGUCCCUGCUGAAAGAGGUUUACAACCCGAAGGCCGUCAUCCCCCACGCGGCGUCGCUGCGUCAGGCUUCCGCCCAUUGCGCAAUAUUCCCCACUGCUGCCUCCCGUAGGAGCCUGGGCCGUGUCUCAGUCCCAGUGUGGCCGGUCGCCCUCUCAGGCCGGCUACCCGUCGUCGCCUUGGUAGGCCACUACCCCACCAACAAGCUGAUAGGCCGCGAGCCCAUCCCCAACCGAAAAAACUUUCCACCACCAGACCAUGCGGCCAGAGGUCGUAUCCGGUAUUAGACCCAGUUUCCCAGGCUUAUCCCAGAGUCAGGGGCAGGUUGCUCACGUGUUACUCACCCGUUCGCCGCUCGAGUACCCCCGAAGGGGCCUUUCCGCUCGACUUGCAUGUGUUAAGCACGCCGCCAUCGUUCGUCCUGAGCCAGGAUCAAACUCU